Molecule: long non-coding RNA, 411 nt
Organism: Sinocyclocheilus rhinocerous
Lineage: Eukaryota; Metazoa; Chordata; Actinopteri; Cypriniformes; Cyprinidae
Exons: 3
Source: RefSeq, a predicted model, not a curated record
CAGAUGGAUCAGACAGCACUCAGUCAGUCGUAUGUCUGGAAUUCCGCUAGUUCUGAACUAUUCGUGAUUGGCAAAAGUUCACUACUAGCAGAACUCGGAUAUACAACUGAAUUCUCAACGAAAGCUCAAGAAUAGUUUGGUCUCACAUGGCCUGCCAUUGGACAACUGCUAUAUUCAUGUGAUCUACUUAUUGGAUGAAGUACAAGAAGUUAAGACCAUCCUUGGAUGUGUUACUCCAUUACUCAUAACCGAAGGGCUACGGACUUGAUUACAACCAGAUAUAUGAGAUACUUCUCUGUUUUCAUGUUUUAGUUGUGGUAAAAUGGUGUGCUCACUACAUCAGUCUGUUUAAAACAGGAAGAAAAAAGACAAAUGUAAUAUAUUUAAUAUAUAAACCUCAAUUCUAAUUCU